Molecule: small RNA, 1255 nt
Filed under: Rattus norvegicus (Norway rat)
Lineage: Eukaryota; Metazoa; Chordata; Mammalia; Rodentia; Muridae
Description: uncharacterized LOC102555491
Source: RNAcentral
UUUAGCAGAACAUCCUCUCUCCUGUGUCUGCUCCAGUGAAAGGUUCCUUCGAGAGUGUGCCUUAGCCUUUCACCUGUGUGAAACGUUCCUUCACCUGUCGGCCUUCGUAAAACACCAUCCAAACAACUUUCCACUUUAUCCGUUCCCUGAGAUGACAUCUUCUCCUGAGGGCUGUUGCUCUAUCAUCUCACUUCUCCAUGAUUUCUCCUCAAGUUGCCUUCGCCAGCUUCCCCCAGCUGUCCUCAGUAGAGUGUUGGUCUUUACUGUCUGUCUGUCCUUAACACAUACCGCUCAGCUACAGUUCUCUGAGGCAAACACAAAGGCUGUGUAGUGCAGGGCUUUGACUCGCAGAGAGGAGGCCAGAUGAUAGAGGAAGGUGACCUUGCUGACUCCACCACAGUACCAGCCUUGCUGGGGAAGGACAGUGGAGCCAGGGUUAGUGCAGCUGAAUGGACCCUGGCUGUGAGCUUGGACUUACACGGACUCCUGCGGUGAAGAAUAGAGACUGUCCAGCGGAUCAUACCCUGGCCUGCCACAGCAGGUUUCUCGGGCACCAAGAGACCCCUUUAAACCAAAUUUCUGAGUGUCACAGCUGUGGGGGAGGGAGCGCAGAGGUCAGGCACGCUGUACAAAAGGCGGAGAGAGGGACCUGGCAAGUGUACAGAAGCAAAUGCCAAACAGAGGCCAGUGGUUGAGGAGAGGAAGUAGGAGACACUGAGAGGUGCUGGAAGAGCGAACCAGGGAAGCAGAGGGCAGAGAACCAGCAUAACCUCAUGAUCUUACCCAGCAAUGGAAUCCACCAUGGGAGCCCCGUUCCUUCUGAGGACCGUCUUCACUCUCUCAGUUAGCUUAUACUACCUGAGUGCUUCCUGUGAGGAGCAGCCUUGGCACCUCCUCCUCCUCCUCCUCCUUCCUUUCUACCUCCCAGGCGGGGCAACCUGGGCCUCACACCUCUCCCUCUGCUGUGUCUAAGGAUGGAUUCCACCAAGAUAGAAACGACCGUGCUGGCACAUAGCAAGUCCUCUGCAGCCAUCAGGAAAGCAGAGGAAUGAGCGGUCAGUCCUCUCUCGUGAACUGAGGGCCAGACAUUGAGCAAUGGGACGUGGAGAGGGUCAGGGCUCCCUGAUCUCUGGCGGAGUCCAGGCAAGGGCUUCUGUGCCCAUCCUCAGAACCGCCUGGCAAGCGGGAAGGCGCCCAGGGGUCCUCAGACAUCAUAGCUCAUUGCUCUGUUCCCAUAAAAUCACUUAAGUGGCAA